RNAcentral lists this ribosomal RNA (253 nucleotides) under uncultured bacterium. RNAcentral describes it as "partial 16S ribosomal RNA". It matches the Rfam family "Bacterial small subunit ribosomal RNA", at positions 524 to 776 of the family's 1533-position model. The record is from RNAcentral.
UACGUAGGGGGCAAGCGUUGUCCGGAAUCAUUGGGCGUAAAGAGCGUGUAGGCGGCCAGAUAAGUCCGCUGUGAAAUCUCGAGGCUCAACUUCGAGCUGUCGGUGGAAACUGUCUGGCUAGAGUCCGGAAGAGGAGAAUGGAAUUCCUGGUGUAGCGGUGAAAUGCGCAGAUAUCAGGAAGAACACCCGUGGCGAAGGCGGUUCUCUGGGACGGUACUGACGCUGAGGCGCGAAAGCGUGGGGAGCGAACAGG